This is a long non-coding RNA of Marmota monax (woodchuck), 1852 nucleotides long. RefSeq lists it as uncharacterized. The transcript has 3 exons. The record is from RefSeq and is a predicted model, not a curated record. NCBI's taxonomy places the organism in Eukaryota, Metazoa, Chordata, Mammalia, Rodentia, Sciuridae.
AGGAAACAAGAAAAAAAGGCCCUGAGUUGUAGCGUUGGGAAAUUUCCGGGCACUACUGAUUCCCACCAUGGUUUUAGAGCAAAUGCUUCUACCAGGACAGAUUUCAAGGUCCAGCCACUUAAUAACCAGUUUACAAAAUUCCUGACAUUUAGCAAUAGUCUCUUGCAAGCAAGAGGGAGCCCUCUCUCGCACACUAAGGGUGAAAAACCGCGGGAUGGGAUGAUUCACUCAUUUCAUCAACGUGGGGUAAGAGCAGGGGCACAGACAAUGACCUCCGCAAGGUGGGGAACCAGAGAAACUAAAGCCCGCAGGGUUCUCUCUGGAGACCAAUCCCAUGCUUUUUCCUGCUACAGAUCCGCUCUCUCCAUGUUUCAAGAGACGUGGCUGCAGGAAGCUUCCAGAGCUACCUCCUCACUGAUUCACAGCCAGAGAAAAAGGAAGCCUUCAGAGCAGGAGAGAAAUCCCCAGCGCAGCCCGGUCAGUCGUUAAUCGUGCAUCACUUUCCCCUUGGAGCAGAAGCCUUCCCUUCUCCUUGGAUCUGUGUAGAUGACAACAAAAAGAACUGUGAUCAAUGGGGACAUGAGAAGAGGUUUGUGAUGAGUCAAUGGGAAACCAGCACCUGUCAUCUGCGUGAAUUCUCCCCUCUUCUUCUCCAGUGAGCCUUUGGCCCACGCCAGCCCUGCCUCCUCGCUGCCUUCAUGAUGAACGCACACAAGAUAUUUUCAAAGAAAACAUGCCAAUACAGGCCCAGAUGAGAAACAGAGAGAAAAUCGAGUUGUCCUUGAGUCCCAGAGAGCUUCAAAGGGGCUGCACCUUUUCAAAGAGGGACGUUUCUGCCUUAGAGAAAUGGUGAGGAGCUCGACAUUCACACAGGCCUUCCUUCAGAGCCUGGUUGCUCGGCAAAGGCAAAGUCCGGCUCCACCCUGGUGCACCUCAGCUGGGCCACAAACAUCAUCCCAGCCCCCCGGGUUGCUUAACCCACGAACCAAGGCAGCAGUUGUGAAUAGGAUGCAGCCACAGCUCUUUUCAUAAAAGAGAAUUCCUCCAGCAAGUUUGUUUACAGAGCAAAGAUUCUCCCUCCUGGAGGGUGGGAAACAGCAUCCCUUUUUGGAGGAUCCAACUGCUUUACCUUCAUGUCACUGAUAUCCAUUCUGGGAUUUGACAAAUAUUUAUUGAUAUCUCCUCUGUUUGACAAGUCCUUUGGAACUGGCCUCUACAGGGUAAUCAUUUAAAAUUGAUUUUCAUGCUGCCUUAUAUUAUAAAUUGAUGGCAAAUAUUUAUUUUGUGAUUAGGUGCUCAUCAGUAUUCCUUGGAGGCCACCCACCCAGGAGGCAGUGUGGCUUGGCGAAGGGAGAGGGGAUGUAGAAUCAGACACAUGUGGUCUGACUCUUGACGGGUCUAGAUGUGUGACGUUGGAUGGACAGCUCAGACACUCUGGGCCUCAGUCUUACUUUUCUCUGAGAACAUCUUUCUAACUCGAAAGCCAGUGCUCUCUUCCUCAAAGAGCCCCUUUCGGUUGGGUGGACAGGAGGCAAGAGUUCAUUGAUCCUGGCAGACAGGAGUUGGCACAGUUUCAGAGGAACAGAGAGGAAGACUCCAGCAGGCCCAACCCGAGAGGGUGUGUUUGGGAAUGAGAGUUAACACUGGGUUGGUGAAAGAAAAGUGUUUCUGUGUGGCACAUGGAUCACACCCCAAAAGCCCAGGUUGUAGGAUAGGGGUUUUGGAAGCCCCUGGAUGAUGGUGGGGCUUGAAUAAAAGCCUCCUAUCAAUAGAGUGCUAGCCUGCUUGUCCUUCACUGGACAUUAGAGAAAAUAACCAAUAGAAAGAUGGUGUUUUUCUUGCUUGAAGAAAG